RNAcentral lists this ribosomal RNA (254 nucleotides) under uncultured bacterium. Its description in RNAcentral is "partial 16S ribosomal RNA". It matches the Rfam family "Bacterial small subunit ribosomal RNA", at positions 524 to 776 of the family's 1533-position model. The record is from RNAcentral.
UACGUAGGGUGCGAGCGUUGUCCGGAAUUAUUGGGCGUAAAGAGCUUGUAGGCGGUUUGUCGCGUCUGCUGUGAAAGCCCGGGGCUCAACCCCGGGAGGCGGGCGGAUACUGUCGGGCUAGAGUCCGGAAGAGGCGAGUGGAAUUCCUGGUGUAGCGGUGAAAUGCGCAGAUAUCAGGAGGAACACCAAUGGCGAAGGCAGCUCGCUGGGACGGUACUGACGCUGAGACGCGAAAGCGUGGGGGAGCAAACAGG